RNAcentral lists this ribosomal RNA (460 nucleotides) under uncultured bacterium. RNAcentral's name for it is "bacterial SSU rRNA". It matches the Rfam family "Bacterial small subunit ribosomal RNA", at positions 30 to 482 of the family's 1533-position model. The record is from RNAcentral.
AUUGAACGCUGGCGGCAUGCUUUACACAUGCAAGUCGAACGGCAGCGCGGGGGCAACCCUGGCGGCGAGUGGCGAACGGGUGAGUAAUAUAUCGGAACGUACCCAGAAGUGGGGGAUAACGUAGCGAAAGUUACGCUAAUACCGCAUACGAUCUACGGAUGAAAGUGGGGGGACCUUCGGGCCUCAUGCUUUUGGAGCGGCCGAUAUCUGAUUAGCUAGUUGGUGAGGUAAAGGCUCACCAAGGCGACGAUCAGUAGCUGGUCUGAGAGGACGACCAGCCACACUGGAACUGAGACACGGUCCAGACUCCUACGGGAGGCAGCAGUGGGGGAAUUUUGGACAAUGGGGGGCAACCCUGAUCCAGCAAUGCCGCGUGAGUGAAGAAGGCCUUCGGUUGGUUAAAGGUACUCUUUUGUUCUAGGGAAGAAAACGGGGGUAGGGCGUAAUAUACUGCUCCUAA